This is a non-coding RNA of Pelobates cultripes (western spadefoot toad), 712 nucleotides long. NCBI's taxonomy places the organism in Eukaryota, Metazoa, Chordata, Amphibia, Anura, Pelobatidae. The record is from the annotation of a GenBank genome assembly.
CUUCCACAGUCCCUCUGUGCAGUGUUAAUUUUGGCUGCAAAUUUCAAUUUAUUUUUAGUCAUAGUCUUUUGACUAGAAUGUCAUUUUAGUUUUAGUCAUCUGAAUUGUUUUAGUUUUAGUUGACUAAAAUUUGAUUAAAAUUGUUAGUCGACAAAAUUAACACUGCUGUGCAUACACAUUAUACAUAGGGUGCAUACACACAGCCACUAUUGCUUACAAUGUCACCAUAGUCCACACUGCCACUAUAGCUGCAACUAUAACCUACACCAGGCUUCCCCAAACUCCCUCCCUCCAGAUGUUGCUGAACUAUGAAUGAAAUAGAUAGGCUGAGAAUCAUGGGAGUUGUAGUUCAGCAACAUCUGGAGGGUCGUAGUUUUGGGAAGCUUGAUCUACACUGUCACUGUAGCGCUCUUUUAGAAAUGAGACGUGUCUGUCAGUAAUAAUUGCUCGUGCUUGGUCUCUGUGUCUGUCCUGUACAGUGUGUUUAUGAUCCUAUCUCUCUGCACGUCCUCUUUGUUGCUAUGCAGCCAUUUUGUCUUUGAGGAGUAAUGUUUUCGUUCUUAUUAAGUCAGUCUGUUCCUGUUAAACACUAAGCAGUUCUGUCAUAUUUCGCAAUGACCCCAAUGGUGACUUUGCUGUUUGCAGUGAGGACGCUUCGGUGUGCAGAGAAAGUUUGAUUUACCUGAUCCUGUCCCUUGUGGCUACCGCCAUG